This is a non-coding RNA of Oryctolagus cuniculus (rabbit), 944 nucleotides long. The record is from RefSeq and is a predicted model, not a curated record. Lineage: Eukaryota; Metazoa; Chordata; Mammalia; Lagomorpha; Leporidae.
UUACAGAGGCUGAUUGCCAGGGAAAGAACCCGUGCUGUGUAGAGGGACAGUCUACAGAGAGCUGGGAGUCAGGGUUAGAAGAGCUGGGUAUGGAGAGAGUGAGAGACACUAAGAACAGGACUUGUUGUGUGAAUUUGCUGUUAGUCUUGGGGGGAGACCUAAUAAUCCAGUGACUGUGGUGGUCUGAGAGACCAGUAAUCUCAAUGAUUACAUCACAAACCUCAGGAGAGUUAUCUCCCAGAGCAGUGUCUCCCUCCCACCACCCACCCCAGGACACAAACAUCCCCUUGUGAUGCAAAAAGGGGGCUUGGUUAGGAGUGGCAUAUUAGCAGUAACCAGGCCAAGGAUGGGUAUUCUAAUAUAUGGGAAUCUAUUGAUGCUCAACAUAUCAUCUUCAAAGAGCUUAAGGGUCUGGUCCACCUGGGCCAUGAGAUAUUUUCCAAGGAGAGUUUUUUCUGCAUCUCUGCUUUCUAUUUUAAUGGAAAAGUGUGCCCUGUAAACUGAGGGGCGGAGAUUGUGAUAAAAGCCAAGGAAGAUAGGGAGAGGCAUAUCUAGCAGUCCUUUGCAAGAUUUCUAUUUGUAUUAUUUAAAAUUGAGAAGGUGAGAUUGUGUUUUCAAAAUGAUCUAUGGCAAGAAAGUCCUGUAGGGGAACCGGACAGGAGGCAGACAGGGCAGCAGUCAGGAGAAGCUGUAUGAAAAUCAUCUUUUGGGUAUUAGAGCUCAGGAGCAACAAGUCCAGGAAGCAAAAAGUCUGUAAGCCAUCACCUAAAUCUUGGCCCUGAAGCAAAGAACUUUGAGUCCCCACAAACUGCUUCUGUAAGGAGAGUACAGGGACACAAUCAUGCAAGUAAUAACAAUAUUUACUGACUGAAUAUUAAGAAUUUACAGGCAUCAGCUACUUAAAUACCCCUCAAGUAUUACAAUUUGACCCUACAUAGCUUUUC